This is a long non-coding RNA of Polypterus senegalus (gray bichir), 1694 nucleotides long. RefSeq lists it as uncharacterized. NCBI's taxonomy places the organism in Eukaryota, Metazoa, Chordata, Cladistia, Polypteriformes, Polypteridae. The transcript is spliced from 3 exons. The record is from RefSeq and is a predicted model, not a curated record.
AGCAAGCCUGGGGCGGAACGUAACACGUGGUUUGAAUUCUUUGUUAAUGGAGGCGUAAAGGCUUUGAAGGGGAAAAGGGAAUUUUGCUGUUUGUAUAAGAUUCCUAGGAUAUAUAUCUAUGUAUUCCAUGUUACAUAAUCAUGCAAUCAUUUCAAGAACCAGUGGCGCCUAUUCAGUGGGUGGUCUCCGAAGACAAGGAGGUCAGAAUGAAAGAAGAAGAAAUCCCAAUUGUUUAUCGUCUGGUGCCAUCACAGGCUGCUGUCCCAAAUACAGGCAUUGGAAGUGAUGAUGUGCAAGAAGAUUCUUUCAAAAACCAUGCAGAAGUGAAGCGUGAAGAGGAUGAAAAAUGCUGCACCACGUCCACGGUCAUUAAUCUAAUGGAUAUGAGCUCUCUUAACGGAGCCCCCAUUAACUUUAAGGUGUGCUGUCCAUAUCCAACUCUGCACAAAUUCACUUCUACUUGUUUUGAAGGAGAAGAUUUUGAGCAACUUCCUAACCACGCCAAAAAAUCAUCGCUCGAUUAUAAGGGUGAGUGCACCAAAGCAGUGCAUGGGAUUCCCGUUGCUUAGCUUGGGUGUCUUCAUUUAAAAUGCGACUUGAGUAAAGGAAACACGUUAGGUCUGUGUGGACAAGUCCAAGAAGUGGCAACACAUGCGAUUUCAGAAACUAUUUCUGGUUGUGUUGACUGUGAUUUGAGUGAAGGUCUUUCUUGUGUUCAGAAAGAGGAACCGACAUUUUCAACAACGUUUUGCCGUUCUGCUAUUCCUGUUGUGGACUUUAGUUUCAAGUAUCGCAGUGAUUAUCCUAACCGUAGCCUGAUAUUUGAGAGAACCUCUAGACCUGAAUGUAUAAGAAGUGAGAAUGCUUGUUGAACUAUUCAAUAGGAAUUAACCCUCACCUUCUAAGAAGUGUUUAUGAACUUAGGGACCACAUUCAUCAGUGGUUUUCCGUAGGGUAGGUAGCUUAUAACAUGCAUCACAGUACAGGAGCGGACAUUAGGUACAAAUCUAAAGGGGAAAGAUGCCUUAGCACUUCUGCUUUUGACUCAUCUUGUCCACUGUCUGUUACAAACAAUACGCCAAACUUGUCCUCUAGGACUUUGAGGACUCCACAUUUUCAGUCUCUUACUCUUUGUCACUCUGCACUUUGUGAAAACACCAAUAUUUUCUCUAGGAACCAUUUAAACGAUUUGAAAAGCACAAACUGUCUUCUUUAUAAUGGAAAAAAAAUUCACACAACAUGCAAAAGCAUGUUAAACAGCCAAAAAAAAUUGGUCUUCAUUUUUACUUUCUCAUAUACAGAGUGAAAAUAUUCGACCUCAAGAUUUUGAUGAAUCUCAACGUUUUAGACCUUCCUGAGUCCGAAAAAUAACAUUUUUGAAGUUUUGUCUGUCUGCGUGUAAACAUAACUCAAAACGCUUUGACCUCGGUCAGUGAGAUUUUGUACACCUGCAUUAUAUUAAAAAAUAAGGAAUCCUAUCAACGUUUUGGGUAAUAAAUUCUGGCAACCAGAAGUGGUACUUUAACUGAAUACUUUUGCAAAUUUUCCAGUAAACUGUGGGUAUAAUUACAGAUGGAUGGUUCAAAUUUUGUACAGAUAUUUAUGAUUAAAAAGCAAACACAUAUGAAAUUUGAGAAAAAUUACUUAACCGGAAGUAGUAUUUUAUUAAAGCAACCAUCUGAAUUUUUUGUAUC